Tissierella creatinophila DSM 6911 is the source of this 132-nucleotide regulatory RNA element. It matches the Rfam family "Ribosomal protein L10 leader". Rfam says of the family: This family is a putative r-protein leader autoregulatory structure found in B. subtilis and other low-GC Gram-positive bacteria. It is located in the 5' untranslated regions of mRNAs encoding ribosomal proteins L10 and L12 (rplJ-rplL). A Rho-independent transcription terminator structure that is probably involved in regulation is included at the 3' end. Lineage: Bacteria; Bacillati; Bacillota; Tissierellia; Tissierellales; Tissierellaceae. The record is from Rfam.
GGUAAAAUAAAUAAUAAACUGUAGACAGUAGGGACCUAAGGUUUAAAUUUCCUACCGAGGUAAGAGCGAAAUAAUUUGUAUUCAAAUUAAUGGUCUCUACGUGUCUACGUAGAGACCAUUAUUAUUUUGUAA